Molecule: ribosomal RNA, 486 nt
Filed under: uncultured bacterium
Lineage: Bacteria
Description: partial 16S ribosomal RNA
Rfam family: Bacterial small subunit ribosomal RNA
Source: RNAcentral
GAUGAACGCUGGCGGCGUGCCUAAUACAUGCAAGUCGAACGCUGGAAAUCUAGCUUGCUAGAUUGAAGGAGUGGCGAACGGGUGAGUAAUACAUAAGCAACCUACCCACGAAGACUGGGAUAAUCUCUGGAAACGGGGACUAAUACCGGAUAGGUAAUCGGAAGGCAUCUUCUGAUUAUUAAAGGUUAAAAACACUGGUGGAUGGGCUUAUGGCGCAUUAGUUAGUUGGUGAGGUAACGGCCCACCAAGACGAUGAUGCGUAGCCGGCCUGAGAGGGUGAACGGCCACAUUGGGACUGAGACACGGCCCAGACUCCUACGGGAGGCAGCAGUAGGGAAUUUUCGGCAAUGGGGGAAACCCUGACCGAGCAAUGCCGCGUGAGUGAUGACGGCCUUCGGGUUGUAAAGCUCUGUUGUAAGGGAAGAACGGUAGAUAGAGAAUAUCUAAAUGACGGUACCUUACCAGAAAGCCACGGCUAACUACGUG